GGAGGGGUGGCAGAGCGGUUGAAUGCACCGGUCUUGAAAACCGGCAUGGGCCUUCGGUCCAUCGGGGGUUCGAAUCCCUCCCCCUCCG
RNAcentral lists this transfer RNA (88 nucleotides) under Thermoleophilaceae bacterium. RNAcentral's name for it is "tRNA-Ser". It matches the Rfam family "tRNA". From Rfam's summary of the family: Transfer RNA (tRNA) molecules are approximately 80 nucleotides in length. Their secondary structure includes four short double-helical elements and three loops (D, anti-codon, and T loops). The record is from RNAcentral. Lineage: Bacteria; Bacillati; Actinomycetota; Thermoleophilia; Thermoleophilales; Thermoleophilaceae.